GAAGCACUCAGUACUUUAUGAAAAAGACUGCCCCCAGUGGCUAAAAAGACAUGCCCAGACUAGUAGACCAGGGUCGUAUGUACCACCUUGAUGCACCCAGUGCGCUCACCACUCCUGUCCUUAUCGAGGAUAUGCUUUAUAUCCAUAAUACUUCUUCUAGAGCUCUAAUUGAUACAAGUGCUACCAAUUCUUUCAUUUCUUGUUCAUUUGCUUGUAAAUUAGGUAUUAGGCUUGAACCUU
This 240-nucleotide long non-coding RNA is filed under the name Carica papaya (papaya). RNAcentral's name for it is "long non-coding RNA (CPAP_LNC012387)". Lineage: Eukaryota; Viridiplantae; Streptophyta; Magnoliopsida; Brassicales; Caricaceae. The record is from RNAcentral.